AGAGUUUGAUCCUGGCUCAGGAUGAACGCUUAGCUACAGGCUUAACACAUGCAAGUCGAGGGGCAGCAUGAAGUCAGCUUGCUGACUUUGAUGGCGACCGGCGCACGGGUGAGUAACGCGUAUCCAACCUACCCCAUAGUAGGGGAUAGCCCGUAGAAAUGCGGAUUAAUACCCUAUGUUUUCCGAGGAGGACAUCUGACUUGGAACAAAGAUUCAUCGCUAUGGGAUGGGGAUGCGUCCGAUUAGCUUGUUGGCGGGGUGACGGCCCACCAAGGCGACGAUCGGUAGGGGUUCUGAGAGGAAGGUCCCCCACACUGGUACUGAGACACGGACCAGACUCCUACGGGAGGCAGCAGUGAGGAAUAUUGGUCAAUGGGCGAGAGCCUGAACCAGCCAAGUAGCGUGCAGGAAGACGGCCCUACGGGUUGUAAACUGCUUUUAUCAGGGGAUAAAGUGUGGGACGCGUCCCUCAUUGCAGGUACCUGAUGAAUAAGGACCGGCUAAUUCCGUGCCAGCAGCCGCGGUAAUACGGAAGGUCCGGGCGUUAUCCGGAUUUAUUGGGUUUAAAGGGAGCGCAGGCGGGUGCUUAAGCGUGCUGUGAAAUGUACCGGCUCAACCGGUGACGUGCAGCGCGAACUGGGUGCCUUGAGUGAGUGCGAGGUAUGCGGAAUUCGUGGUGUAGCGGUGAAAUGCUUAAAUAUCACGAAAAACCCCGAUUGCGAAGGCAGCGUACCAGUCCUUUUACUUGACGCUAAAGCUCGAAAGUGCGGGUAUCGAACAGGAUUAGAUACCCUGGUAGUUCCGCACGGUAAACGAUGGAUGCCCCGCUGUCGGCGAUAGAAUGUCGGGCGGCCAAGCGAAAGCGUUAAGCAUUCCCACCUGGGGAGUACGCCGGCAACGGUGAAACUCAAAGGAAUUGACGGGGGCCCGCACAAGCGGAGGAACAUGUGGUUUAAUUCGAUGAUACGCGAGGAACCUUACCCGGGCUUGAACUGCAGCCGAACGAUUCAGAGAUGAUGAGGUCCUUCGGGACGGCUGUGGAGGUGCUGCAUGGUUGUCGUCAGCUCGUGCCGUGAGGUGUCGGCUUAAGUGCCAUAACGAGCGCAACCCCUUUCGCCAGUUGCCAUCAGGUGAUGCUGGGCACUCCGGCGACACUGCCACCGUAAGGUGUGAGGAAGGUGGGGAUGACGUCAAAUCAGCACGGCCCUUACGUCCGGGGCUACACACGUGUUACAAUGGGGUGUACAGAGCGUCGGCGGCCGGCAACGUCCGCCCAAUCGUGAAAGCAUCCCUCAGUUCGGAUUGGGGUCUGCAACCCGACCCCAUGAAGCUGGAUUCGCUAGUAAUCGCGCAUCAGCCAUGGCGCGGUGAAUACGUUCCCGGGCCUUGUACACACCGCCCGUCAAGCCAUGAAAGCCUGGGGCGCCUGAAGUCCGUGACCGCGAGGGUCGGCCUAGGGUGAAGGCAGGUGAUUGGGGCUAAGUCGUAACAAGGUAGCCGUACCGGAAGGUGCGGCUGGAUCACCUCCUUUCU
RNAcentral lists this ribosomal RNA (1533 nucleotides) under uncultured rumen bacterium. RNAcentral describes it as "bacterial SSU rRNA". It matches the Rfam family "Bacterial small subunit ribosomal RNA". The record is from RNAcentral.